ACCAAACUGCAUCUUAUAAACGAUAAUUAAUAAAAACAAUAUUAAAUCAAUAACCUAUUAAACACAAAACAUACAGUACUGAAAAGGAAUAAAUAAUAUUAUAAAGUAGUGAAUAUUCACGUACCUUGUGCAUUAUGGUUUUACAAGCCAAUCAAUUUAAAAUAUAUUCCCGAAUCCUACGCGAGCUGCUCCAGUAUAGCUAAGAGCUCACCACUAGUUGUAGCAUCAAUUUUGGAAAAUACUGUAGCAGAGGCUACAUACCAUGCGCGCUAGUAAAUUGCUGGUUUUCAGUAAAAAUUAUAAAUUAAAACAUGUAGAACCUCUACAAUGUAAGAUUAAAGAGGACAAGCCCUUUAAUCCCAAGCUAGUUUCCACCAACAUCAUUACCUAGGCCUAAAAACAGCCACUUUUACUACGUUACUGUAAUUAUUUUCCAAUAAAUAAUAAAUAUGCCACCUUAAACUGAAAUUUAAAAUAAACUUCGCUCUUAAAAUACUAUGUAAAAAUAAGUAUUAUAAAAUUACUCUAUAAAUACACCUAUCAAUGUAUGAAUAGCCCCCAAAACUCAUAAAGGAACUCGGCAAAUCUUAUUUCGACUGUUUAACAAAAACAUUGCUUUCUGAAUUUCUAAUAGAAGGUAAUUCCUGCCCAGUGAUAAUUUAAACGGCCGCGGUAUCCUAACCGUGCAAAGGUAGCAUAAUAAUUUGCCCAUUAAUUGUGGGCUAGUAUGAAAGGACUAACGAAAUAAAGACUGUCUCUAUGAGUCAUCUAAAAAUUAAUCUCUAACUGAAGAUUGUUAGAUACUGUCGAAGGACAAGAAGACCCUAUAGAGCUUUAUUAAAUAUUUUUAAGAAAAAUCUAAAAUUCGGUUGGGGCGACCAGGGAAAUAAGUAUCAUCCCUAAGAAAAAGAUUUAUUAAUCUCACAUCUGACCCUUAAUAAAGAUCAUAAAAUCAAGCUACCUUAGGGAUAACAGGCUAAUCUCACUAAAGAGUCCUUAUCAAUAGUGAGGUUUGGCACCUCGAUGUUGGCUUAGGGAAUCAAUACGGCGCAAAAGUCGUAUAAAGAUGGUUUGUUCAACCAAUAACACCCUACAUGAGCUGAGUUCAGACCGGCGUAAGCCAGGUUAGUUUCUAUCCUCGAUAACACAUCUAUUUAUAGUACGAAAGGACCUAAAUAAGUAUAAUAAUUAUAAAGAAAGAAUCUAUAUAACUUAAUAUUAAACAUCUAAAGGUAUAAACUAUA
RNAcentral lists this ribosomal RNA (1244 nucleotides) under Eisenia nordenskioldi nordenskioldi. RNAcentral's name for it is "16S ribosomal RNA". It matches the Rfam family "Bacterial large subunit ribosomal RNA", at positions 544 to 2827 of the family's 2925-position model. The record is from RNAcentral. Lineage: Eukaryota; Metazoa; Annelida; Clitellata; Crassiclitellata; Lumbricidae.